GGGUUGUGAGGUUAAGCGACUAAGCGUACACGGUGGAUGCCUAGGCAGUCAGAGGCGAUGAAGGGCGUGCUAAUCUGCGAAAAGCGUCGGUAAGCUGAUAUGAAGCGUAAUAACCGACGAUACCCGAAUGGGGAAACCCAGUGCAAUUCGUUGCACUAUUGCAUGGUGAAUACAUAGCCAUGCAAGGCGAACCGGGGGAACUGAAACAUCUAAGUACCCCGAGGAAAAGAAAUCAACCGAGAUUCCCCCAGUAGCGGCGAGCGAACGGGGAAGAGCCCAGAGUCUGAAUCAGUUGGUGUGUUAGUGGAAGCGUCUGGAAAGUCGCACGGUACAGGGUGAUAGUCCCGUACACAAAAACACACUGGCUGUGAACUCGAUGAGUAGGGCGGGACACGUGACAUCCUGUCUGAAUAUGGGGGGACCAUCCUCCAAGGCUAAAUACUCCUGACUGACCGAUAGUGAACCAGUACCGUGAGGGAAAGGCGAAAAGAACCCCGGCGAGGGGAGUGAAAUAGAACCUGAAACCGUGUACGUACAAGCAGUGGGAGCACCUUCGUGGUGUGACUGCGUACCUUUUGUAUAAUGGGUCAGCGACUUAUAUUUUGUAGCAAGGUUAACCGAAUAGGGGAGCCGUAGGGAAACCGAGUCUUAACUGGGCGUCUAGUUGCAAGGUAUAGACCCGAAACCCGGUGAUCUAGCCAUGGGCAGGUUGAAGGUUGGGUAACACUAACUGGAGGACCGAACCGACUAAUGUUGAAAAAUUAGCGGAUGACUUGUGGCUGGGGGUGAAAGGCCAAUCAAACCGGGAGAUAGCUGGUUCUCCCCGAAAGCUAUUUAGGUAGCGCCUCGUGAACUCAUCUUCGGGGUAGAGCACUGUUUCGGCUAGGGGUCCAUCCCGGAUUACCAAACCGAUGCAAACUCCGAAUACCGAAGAAUGUUAUCACGGGAGACACACGGCGGGUGCUAACGUCCGUCGUGAAGAGGGAAACAACCCAGACCGCCAGCUAAGGUCCCAAAGUCAUGGUUAAGUGGGAAACGAUGUGGGAAGGCAUAGACAGCCAGGAUGUUGGCUUAGAAGCAGCCAUCAUUUAAAGAAAGCGUAAUAGCUCACUGGUCGAGUCGGCCUGCGCGGAAGAUGUAACGGGGCUAAACCAUGCACCGAAGCUGCGGCAGCGACGCUUAGGCGUUGUUGGGUAGGGGAGCGUUCUGUAAGCCGUUGAAGGUGGCCUGUGAGGGCUGCUGGAGGUAUCAGAAGUGCGAAUGCUGACAUAAGUAACGAUAAUGCGGGUGAAAAACCCGCACGCCGGAAGACCAAGGGUUCCUGUCCAACGUUAAUCGGGGCAGGGUGAGUCGACCCCUAAGGCGAGGCUGAAAAGCGUAGUCGAUGGGAAACAGGUUAAUAUUCCUGUACUGGGUGUGACUGCGAAGGGGGGACGGAGAAGGCUAGGCUAGCCGGGCGACGGUUGUCCCGGUUUAAGCAUGUAGGCGGAGUGACUUGGUAAAUCCGGUUGCUUAUCAACGCUGAGGUGUGAUGACGAGCCACUACGGUGGUGAAGUAGUUGAUGCCAAGCUUCCAGGAAAAGCCUCUAAGCAUCAGGUGACAUUCAAUCGUACCCCAAACCGACACAGGUGGUCAGGUAGAGAAUACUCAGGCGCUUGAGAGAACUCGGGUGAAGGAACUAGGCAAAAUGGUGCCGUAACUUCGGGAGAAGGCACGCUGGCAUUAGGUAAAGAGACUUGCUCUCGGCGCCGAAGCCAGUCGCAGAUACCAGCUGGCUGCAACUGUUUAAUAAAAACACAGCACUGUGCAAACACGAAAGUGGACGUAUACGGUGUGACGCCUGCCCGGUGCUGGAAGGUUAAUUGAUGGGGUCAGCCGCAAGGCGAAGCUCUUGAUCGAAGCCCCAGUAAACGGCGGCCGUAACUAUAACGGUCCUAAGGUAGCGAAAUUCCUUGUCGGGUAAGUUCCGACCUGCACGAAUGGCGUAAUGAUGGCCAGGCUGUCUCCACCCGAGACUCAGUGAAAUUGAACUCGCUGUGAAGAUGCAGUGUACCCGCGGCAAGACGGAAAGACCCCGUGAACCUUUACUAUAGCUUGACACUGAAUAUUGAGCCUUGAUGUGUAGGAUAGGUGGGAGGCAUCGAAGCGUGGACGCCAGUCUGCGUGGAGCCAACCUUGAAAUACCACCCUUUAAUGUUUGAUGUUCUAACUCGGCCCCAUAAUCUGGGGUGAGGACAGUGUCUGGUGGGUAGUUUGACUGGGGCGGUCUCCUCCCAAAGAGUAACGGAGGAGCACGAAGGUUAGCUAAUCACGGUCGGACAUCGUGAGGUUAGUGCAAAGGCAUAAGCUAGCUUGACUGCGAGAGUGACGGCUCGAGCAGGUACGAAAGUAGGUCUUAGUGAUCCGGUGGUUCUGAAUGGAAGGGCCAUCGCUCAACGGAUAAAAGGUACUCCGGGGAUAACAGGCUGAUACCGCCCAAGAGUUCAUAUCGACGGCGGUGUUUGGCACCUCGAUGUCGGCUCAUCACAUCCUGGGGCUGAAGUAGGUCCCAAGGGUAUGGCUGUUCGCCAUUUAAAGUGGUACGCGAGCUGGGUUUUAGAACGUCGUGAGACAGUUCGGUCCCUAUCUGCCGUGGGCGUUGGAAGAUUGAGAGGGGCUGCUCCUAGUACGAGAGGACCGGAGUGGACGCAUCACUGGUGUUCGGGUUGUCAUGCCAAUGGCAUUGCCCGGUAGCUAAAUGCGGAAAAGAUAAGCGCUGAAAGCAUCUAAGCGCGAAACUUGCCUCGAGAUGAGUCUUCCCUGGGGCUUUAAGCCCCCUGAAGGAACGUUAAAGACUAUGACGUUGAUAGGCUGGGUGUGUAAGUGCAGCGAUGCAUUGAGCUAACCAGUACUAAUGAUCCGUGAGGCUUAACCUUACAACACCGAAGGUGUUU
RNAcentral lists this ribosomal RNA (2934 nucleotides) under Yersinia ruckeri. Its description in RNAcentral is "bacterial LSU rRNA". It matches the Rfam family "Bacterial large subunit ribosomal RNA". Lineage: Bacteria; Pseudomonadati; Pseudomonadota; Gammaproteobacteria; Enterobacterales; Yersiniaceae. The record is from RNAcentral.